GCGGCAAAAGUGGUAAAUUCUGGAGCACUUCUAUCAUCUUUCUCAAACUCGAUUUAUCGAACCAUCUGCUGCUUCUCUUCCUUCCUCAGCUUAUCUUUUCGUCAUUCUACAAAUUCAAAAAGAUCCUACUCAUCUCUGUCAUUUUAGGGUGAAAUUCUCAGUUUCAUAUUGUUUGCCGAAUUUAUACUUCAUCUCUGUCUUUGCCACAGCGCAAUCCGUGCCACCUUGGCAUUGUGAAACGUCCAAUGUUAAACAUGGACAUGCUGUUGAUCCAGUUCUCAAGGCCAUUUCUGCGUCCUUGAUGUCCCUGGAGUUAGGAAUUCAAAGUUUUUGAGGAGAUGAUGAACUGUGGUAUGGAGGUUCCAAAGUAGACCAUUCGCCUUGGCAGGUCCCAUAACCAUUCCCUUGGAACAUCAAUCGGGUUCAGACUGGAAUCAUGGUCG
Molecule: non-coding RNA, 443 nt
Organism: Durio zibethinus
Lineage: Eukaryota; Viridiplantae; Streptophyta; Magnoliopsida; Malvales; Malvaceae
Source: RefSeq, a predicted model, not a curated record